This is a long non-coding RNA of Oncorhynchus tshawytscha (Chinook salmon), 727 nucleotides long. The record is from Ensembl. NCBI's taxonomy places the organism in Eukaryota, Metazoa, Chordata, Actinopteri, Salmoniformes, Salmonidae.
AAAGAGAAAGGCGGCCAUUGUUACUCCCUGUCCUAGUGAAAAGCCAACUGUCCCGGUUGAUAUAUUAUCGAAUAGAUAUUUGAAAAACACCCUGAGGAUUGAUUAUAAAAAACGUCUGACAUGUUUCUGUAGACAUUAUGGAUACAAUUUGGAAUUGUUGUCUGCGUUGUCGUGACCGCUCUUUCCGGUGGAUUCCUGGGCAUAACGCACCAAACUAACGGAGGUAUUUGGAUAUAAAAAAAAUCUUUAUGGAACAAAAGGAACAUUUGUUGUCUAACUGGGAGUCUCGUGAGUGAAAACAUCCGAAGAUAAUCAAAGGGGUGAUGGUCGAAUUUGCUUUUAUCGUCAAAGGAAUGAGCGUUACACUGAGGCCUGUACUCUGGAGCGGGAUCGAUUUGGAGGUGGAGGGUCCGUCAUGGUCUGGGGAGGAAUGUCAGUGUUCUGCCAUGGCCAGCGAAGAGCCCGGAUCUCAAUCCCAUUGAGCACGUCUGGGACCUGUUGGAUCAGAGGGUGAGGGCUAGGGCCAUUCCCCCCAGAAAUAUCCAGGAACUUGCAGGUGCCUUGUUGGAAGAGUGGGGUAACAUCUCACAACAAGAACGGGCAAAUCUGGAGCAGUCCAUGAGGAGGAGAUGCACUGCAGUACUUAGUAUCUGGUGUGGCCACCAGCUGCAUUGACUGCUACUUUUGAUUUUGACCCCCCCCCCCUUUGUUCAGGGACGAAUUUGAU